Molecule: ribosomal RNA, 433 nt
Filed under: uncultured bacterium
Lineage: Bacteria
Description: partial 16S ribosomal RNA
Rfam family: Bacterial small subunit ribosomal RNA
Source: RNAcentral
GACGAACGCUGGCGGCAGGCCUAACACAUGCAAGUCGAGCGAGCAUUUCGGUCCUAGCGGCGGUCGGGGGAGUACCGCGUGGUAACGUGCCCUUUUCUGCGGUAUCGUCCUGUGAGACUGGGGUUCAUACCGCAUAGGCCCUUUUGGGGAAAGAUUUAUCGGAGCAGGAUCGGCCCGGGUUGGAUUCGGUAGUUGGUGGUGUAAUGGCACACCAUGCCGAGGUUGCAUAGCUGGUUGGUGAGGAGGACCAGCCGCACUGGCAAUGAGGCACGGACUAGACUCCUACGGAAGGCAGGAGAGGGGAAUCUUAGACAAGGGGGGCAACCCUGAUCGAGCCAUGCCGGGGAAGUGAGGAAGGCGGUAGGGUUGUAAAGCUCUUUCAGCUGGGAAGAUAGUGACGGUACCAGCAGAAGAAGCCCCGGCUAACUACGUG